GGCGGCAUGCUAACACAUGCAAGUCGAACGAGACUUCGGGUCUAGUGGCGCACGGGUGCGUAACGCGUGGGAAUCUGCCCUUAGGUACGGAAUAACUCAGGGAAACUUGUGCUAAUACCGUAUGAUGUCGAGAGACCAAAGAUUUAUCGCCUAGGGAUGAGCCCGCGUAGGAUUAGCUAGUUGGUGGGGUAAAGGCCUACCAAGGCUACGAUCCUUAGCUGGUCUGAGAGGAUGAUCAGCCACACUGGGACUGAGACACGGCCCAGACUCCUACGGGAGGCAGCAGUGGGGAAUAUUGGACAAUGGGCGAAAGCCUGAUCCAGCAAUGCCGCGUGAGUGAAGAAGGCCUUCGGGUUGUAAAGCUCUUUUACCCGGGAAGAUAAUGACUGUACCGGGAGAAUAAGCUCCGGCUAACUCCGUGCCAGCAGCCGCGGUAAUACGGAGGGAGCUAGCGUUGUUCGGAAUUACUGGGCGUAAAGCGUACGUAGGCGGCUUGGUAAGUCAGAGGUGAAAGCCCACGACUCAAUCGUGGAACUGCCUCUGAGACUGCUUCGCUUGAAGAUGGGAGAGGUUAGUGGAAUUCCGAGUGUAGAGGUGAAAUUCGUAGAUAUUCGGAAGAACACCGGUGG
This 629-nucleotide ribosomal RNA is filed under the name uncultured bacterium. Its description in RNAcentral is "bacterial SSU rRNA". It matches the Rfam family "Bacterial small subunit ribosomal RNA", at positions 38 to 715 of the family's 1533-position model. The record is from RNAcentral.